AUCUAAGUACCCCGAGGAAAAGAAAUCAACCGAGAUUCCCCCAGUAGCGGCGAGCGAACGGGGAGGAGCCCAGAGCCUGAAUCAGCAUGUGUGUUAGUGGAAGCGUCUGGAAAGGCGCGCGAUACAGGGUGACAGCCCCGUACACAAAAGCGCAUGUGCUGUGAGCUCGAUGAGUAGGGCGGGACACGUGGUAUCCUGUCUGAAUAUGGGGGGACCAUCCUCCAAGGCUAAAUACUCCUGACUGACCGAUAGUGAACCAGUACCGUGAGGGAAAGGCGAAAAGAACCCCGGCGAGGGGAGUGAAAAAGAACCUGAAACCGUGUACGUACAAGCAGUGGGAGCACAGGUUUACCUGUGUGACUGCGUACCUUUUGUAUAAUGGGUCAGCGACUUAUAUUCUGUAGCAAGGUUAACCGUAUAGGGGAGCCGGAGGGAAACCGAGUCUUAAUUGGGCGUUAAGUUGCAGGGUAUAGACCCGAAACCCGGUGAUCUAGCCAUGGGCAGGUUGAAGGUUGGGUAACACUAACUGGAGGACCGAACCGACUAAUGUUGAAAAAUUAGCGGAUGACCUGUGGCUGGGGGUGAAAGGCCAAUCAAACCGGGAGAUAGCUGGUUCUCCCCGAAAGCUAUUUAGGUAGCGCCUCGUGAAUUCAUCUCCGGGGGUAGAGCACUGUUUCGGCUAGGGGGCCAUCCCGGCUUACCAACCCGAUGCAAACUGCGAAUACCGGAGAAUGUUAUCACGGGAGACACACGGCGGGUGCUAACGUCCGUCGUGAAGAGGGAAACAACCCAGACCGCCAGCUAAGGUCCCAAAGUCAUGGUUAAGUGGGAAACGAUGUGGGAAGGCCCAGACAGCCAGGAUGUUGGCUUAGAAGCAGCCAUCAUUUAAAGAAAGCGUAAUAGCUCACUGGUCGAGUCGGCCUGCGCGGAAGAUGUAACGGGGCUAAACCAUGCACCGAAGCUGCGGCAGCGAACGUAUCACCCAAGACAACUUUACGGAGUUGACGAUUGACGGAGCGAAGCGACGUCAAAGCGUUCAUUAAAGUCGAGUUGGCUUAGGGAUACGUUCGUUGGGUAGGGGAGCGUUCUGUAAGCCUGUGAAGGUGUGUCGUGAGGCAUGCUGGAGGUAUCAGAAGUGCGAAUGCUGACAUAAGUAACGAUAAAGCGGGUGAAAAGCCCGCUCGCCGGAAGACCAAGGGUUCCUGUCCAACGUUAAUCGGGGCAGGGUGAGUCGACCCCUAAGGCGAGGCCGAAAGGCGUAGUCGAUGGGAAACGGGUUAAUAUUCCCGUACUUGGUGUUACUGCGAAGGGGGGACGGAGAAGGCUAUGUUGGCCGGGCGACGGUUGUCCCGGUUUAAGCGUGUAGGUGUGUGUUCCAGGUAAAUCCGGUU
Molecule: ribosomal RNA, 1391 nt
Filed under: Salmonella enterica subsp. enterica serovar Typhimurium
Lineage: Bacteria; Pseudomonadati; Pseudomonadota; Gammaproteobacteria; Enterobacterales; Enterobacteriaceae
Description: partial 23S ribosomal RNA
Rfam family: Bacterial large subunit ribosomal RNA
Source: RNAcentral